Molecule: ribosomal RNA, 253 nt
Filed under: uncultured bacterium
Lineage: Bacteria
Description: partial 16S ribosomal RNA
Rfam family: Bacterial small subunit ribosomal RNA
Source: RNAcentral
UACGUAGGUGGCGAGCGUUGUCCGGAUUUACUGGGCGUAAAGGGAGCGUAGGCGGACUUUUAAGUGAGAUGUGAAAUACUCGGGCUCAACUUGAGUGCCGCAUUUCAAACUGGAAGUCUAGAGUGCAGGAGAGGAGAAUGGAAUUCCUAGUGUAGCGGUGAAAUGCGUAGAGAUUAGGAAGAACACCAGUGGCGAAGGCGAUUCUCUGGACUGUAACUGACGCUGAGGCUCGAAAGCGUGGGGAGCAAACAGG